GACGAACGCUGGCGGCGUGCUUAACACAUGCAAGUCGAACGGUGACGAGGAGCUUGCUCCUCCGAUCAGUGGCGAACGGGUGAGUAACACGUGAGUAACCUGCCCCGGACUCUGGGAUAACAGUUGGAAACAGCUGCUAAUACCGGAUACGAGACGGAGAGGCAUCUCUACCGUCUGGAAAGUUCUUCGGUCCGGGAUGGACUCGCGGCCUAUCAGCUAGUUGGUGAGGUAACGGCUCACCAAGGCGACGACGGGUAGCCGGCCUGAGAGGGCGACCGGCCACACUGGGACUGAGACACGGCCCAGACUCCUACGGGAGGCAGCAGUGGGGAAUAUUGCACAAUGGGCGAAAGCCUGAUGCAGCGACGCCGCGUGAGGGAUG
RNAcentral lists this ribosomal RNA (382 nucleotides) under uncultured bacterium. RNAcentral's name for it is "bacterial SSU rRNA". It matches the Rfam family "Bacterial small subunit ribosomal RNA", at positions 28 to 410 of the family's 1533-position model. The record is from RNAcentral.